AGUGAACGCUGGCGGUAGGCCUAACACAUGCAAGUCGAACGGCAGCACAGUAAGAGCUUGCUCUUACGGGUGGCGAGUGGCGGACGGGUGAGGAAUACAUCGGAAUCUACUUUUUCGUGGGGGAUAACGUAGGGAAACUUACGCUAAUACCGCAUACGACCUACGGGUGAAAGCAGGGGAUCUUCGGACCUUGCGCGAUUGAAUGAGCCGAUGUCGGAUUAGCUAGUUGGCGGGGUAAAGGCCCACCAAGGCGACGAUCCGUAGCUGGUCUGAGAGGAUGAUAAGCCACACUGGAACUGAGACACGGUCCAGACUCCUACGGGAGGCAGCAGUGGGGAAUAUUAGACAAUGGGCGCAAGCCUGAUCCAGCCAUACCGCGUGGGUGAAGAAGGCCUUCGGGUUGUAAAGCCCUUUUGUCGGGAAAGAAAAGCAGCAGGUUAAUACCCCGCUGUUCUGACGGUACCCAAAGAAUAAGCACCGGCUAACUUCGUG
Molecule: ribosomal RNA, 492 nt
Filed under: uncultured bacterium
Lineage: Bacteria
Description: partial 16S ribosomal RNA
Rfam family: Bacterial small subunit ribosomal RNA
Source: RNAcentral